Molecule: non-coding RNA, 213 nt
Filed under: Angiostrongylus costaricensis
Lineage: Eukaryota; Metazoa; Nematoda; Chromadorea; Rhabditida; Metastrongylidae
Description: Eukaryotic small subunit ribosomal RNA
Rfam family: Eukaryotic small subunit ribosomal RNA
Source: Rfam by way of RNAcentral
GUGUAGAUUGAAGACUAAAUAGUAUUAUUUGCUUCUUUAAAUUAGUGGCGUUUAGUGACUAAGUGUCUAGAGCACCGAAAUUUUCCGAAAAAGUGUCUGCCCUAUCAACCUGAUGGUAGUCUGUUAGUCUACCAUGGUUAUUGCGGGUAACGGAGGAUGAGAAUUCGACUCCGGAGAGGGAGCCUUAGAAACGGCUACCACAUCCAAGGAAGG